UACGAAGGGGGCUAGCGUUGCUCGGAAUCACUUGGCGUAAAGGGUGCGUAGGCGGGUCUUUAAGUCAGGGGUGAAAUCCUGGAGCUCAACUCCAGAACUGCCUUUGAUACUGAAGAUCUUGAGUUCGGGAGAGGUGAGUGGAACUGCGAGUGUAGAGGUGAAAUUCGUAGAUAUUCGCAAGAACACCAGUGGCGAAGGCGGCUCACUGGCCCGAUACUGACGCUGAGGCACGAAAGCGUGGGGAGCAAACAGG
Molecule: ribosomal RNA, 253 nt
Filed under: uncultured bacterium
Lineage: Bacteria
Description: partial 16S ribosomal RNA
Rfam family: Bacterial small subunit ribosomal RNA
Source: RNAcentral